GGCACACAUGACUGCACAGAGUCCGAGGAUUGAACUCUGGCCGCUCUGGACAUUGACCCCUGAGAAAGCCAACCAUGCUAGAUUGGACACUUCCAAGGAGCCUUUAAAGUUGGGGAGCUUAAGUAUCUUUCUAGGUGACCUGGGGGCUUACGGUGAGAGGGACAGUUGAUUGACUUUACAAUGGUAAGAAAGGAAAAUGAGGAGUUCCAGACAGGAAGAACAGUGAGGGGCUGAUGCUUUUCAAAGGAUGCAAAAGGGAAAAACCUAGCCCAGGGUUGGACCACUUAGGUAGAGGACUUUAGCCCAAGGCGAGAAACCCUUGGCACCAGAGAUACUUCACCUCUGAUGAGAUUAGCUAUUGCCACCCAAACUACCAGGAUGUCUAUUGUUAGCCUGAGACCUGGGAAGUAGGACCUUCCCUCAGGGGGAAAACUCUCCCGUGACCAGGUCAAACCUGGGGUUUCUACCUCCCAACUCAAUAAACUGGGGAUCACCAAAUCCCUCCAAGCUACAAGUUUGGGGACUUCCAGAUUCCACGUUGAUAGUGUUCAGGAUCAGAUACCUGCUCUAGAACAGAAGUGUUUGUCCCCAAUGCAGGAACUUGCUAACCUUCCUAAGGCAGAUCAGAGCACUGCGGGCUCAGCGCUGGCUUCCUCUGCAGCUCCAGUCUGGGCAAUCUAGACCUUGCCAGGGUUCAAGGUUUGUGCCUUUUCAGCUCCACAUUCUUCCAUGGACAGGGACCCCCAUGUCCAGCUCCUUACUUGUGAAGCAGGGGGAAUACACUCAAUGGGGCUCUGAGGAUGCCUGGCGCUCUCCAAGGUCUCAUCUUCCCUGAGCUGCCUUUCUGCAGACUGAGAGAGAAGGUCUGAAUGAGUACUAUGCUCUGCAAAUCUGAGACUGUCACCCCAAGCAGAAUACUUGGAAAACUUCUAAUCCCUCUUGUGAGAUUCCUACAGAUACUUCCCUUCUUCAAAGGCCUGUCAGAUAUUCAAGACCCCAAUGAUUGGCCAGGCCUGACCCACAGGGAAUUGAGGCAACUAACCAGAGGUUACACUAAUAAGGAUGUACCAAAAGGCUAAACAUUCCAAGUUCUUUAAGGGGCUCCUUGCCAGCACAAGACAGUCACCAGAUCCAGCAGAGCCAAGAAUGUACUAAAAAGCACUUGUCAGCAGCUGUUCCCAGCACUCCUCCCCAGCUCGGCUCAGUGUUUUCUGUUUCAAGAAAGGAGAAGGGCGAACGACUCCGGCUGGAGUGGGUGCUUCAAGUUCUUGGUCAUGAACCCGCUGCUAAUGAUGGGAUCCCCGACUGGAGCUAGAAAGGCUCUUGGAAGUCACCUGAUUUGACUCAUUUUCCAGACAAGAAGCCCAAGGGAUGGACUCGCCUGGCCAGGGCGGCCCUAUCACCCUGAUGGUCCGUGUCACAUCGCAUAUGGGCACAUCAUUAACCAUGUUCUCUCUAACUACUCAGCUUUGAUGAAUACCAAGUUGCUGCCACAAUGGAGUCCUUGCAAUCUCUCCUCCAGGGCAGGCCGUGUUCGGGCUUUUGGUCUUUGUACCCCCCACAUCUACGGGCACACAGCAGAUGCUUCAUAAGUUUUUGUCUAAUUAAAUUCAAAUAAAAAUUCAUGAGGGCUGAUUUGUACCUUUAAG
Molecule: long non-coding RNA, 1649 nt
Organism: Monodelphis domestica (gray short-tailed opossum)
Lineage: Eukaryota; Metazoa; Chordata; Mammalia; Didelphimorphia; Didelphidae
Source: Ensembl